RNAcentral lists this transfer RNA (77 nucleotides) under Mycoplasmataceae bacterium. Its description in RNAcentral is "tRNA-His". It matches the Rfam family "tRNA". From Rfam's summary of the family: Transfer RNA (tRNA) molecules are approximately 80 nucleotides in length. The record is from RNAcentral. Lineage: Bacteria; Bacillati; Mycoplasmatota; Mollicutes; Mycoplasmatales; Mycoplasmataceae.
GCGGAUAUGGCGAAGCUGGCUAACGCACUUGACUGUGAAUCAAGCACUCGUGGGUUCAAGCCCCACUAUCCGCCCCA